RNAcentral lists this ribosomal RNA (301 nucleotides) under uncultured bacterium. RNAcentral's name for it is "partial 16S ribosomal RNA". It matches the Rfam family "Bacterial small subunit ribosomal RNA", at positions 509 to 807 of the family's 1533-position model. The record is from RNAcentral.
CAGUCGCCACGGGAAUACGGAGGGUGCAAGCGUUAAUCGGAAUUACUGGGCGUAAAGCGCACGCAGGCGGUCUGUCAAGUCAGAUGUGAAAUCCCCGGGCUUAACCUGGGAACUGCAUUUGAAACUGGCAGGCUAGAGUCUUGUAGAGGGGGGUAGAAUUCCAGGUGUAGCGGUGAAAUGCGUAGAGAUCUGGAGGAAUACCGAUGGCGAAGGCAGCCAUCUGGCCUAAUACUGACGCUGAGGUACGAAAGCAUGGGGAGCAAACAGGAUUAGAUACCCGUGUAGUCCCUGUCUCUUAUAC